Picea glauca (white spruce) is the source of this 121-nucleotide non-coding RNA. Lineage: Eukaryota; Viridiplantae; Streptophyta; Pinopsida; Pinales; Pinaceae. The record is from Rfam.
ACAUGCCUACAACAUAGUGUUAAUGCACUGAAUCCCAUUAUAACUCCACAAUUAAGCACACUCAGGCUAGAGAAGUACUGUGAUGGGUGACCGCCUGGGAAGUCCUAGUGUUUUACAUGUC